GAGGGUAUAGCUCAGUGGUAGAGUACGUGCCUAGCAUGCACGAGGUCAUGGGUUCAACGCUGGUACCUCCA
This 71-nucleotide transfer RNA is filed under the name Camelus ferus (Wild Bactrian camel). It matches the Rfam family "tRNA". From Rfam's summary of the family: Transfer RNA (tRNA) molecules are approximately 80 nucleotides in length. Their secondary structure includes four short double-helical elements and three loops (D, anti-codon, and T loops). Further hydrogen bonds mediate the characteristic L-shaped molecular structure. tRNAs have two regions of fundamental functional importance: the anti-codon, which is responsible for specific mRNA codon recognition, and the 3' end, to which the tRNAs corresponding amino acid is attached (by aminoacyl-tRNA synthetases). tRNAs cope with the degeneracy of the genetic code in two manners: having more than one tRNA (with a specific anti-codon) for a particular amino acid; and 'wobble' base-pairing, i.e. permitting non-standard base-pairing at the 3rd anti-codon position. Lineage: Eukaryota; Metazoa; Chordata; Mammalia; Artiodactyla; Camelidae. The record is from Rfam by way of RNAcentral.